UUCUCCCCCACAGUGCCUGCCCUCCUGUCUACAUAAGCCAGCCCUAUAAAUAAGGAGAAUCACACAUGGCCUUCAUUGUGAUGCAGAUACAACAAGACCAACCCAAAGGAAUCAACUAGUUCAUAUAAUGUCAAUUGCAGUCUUCACCAUGGGUGAUGUGGAGAUGGAAGAGUGUGGGGCGGCAGCUCCUUUUCUGAAGAAGUCAGAGAAGGAGCGUCUGGAGGCCCUGAUUUGCCCCUUUGACAUGAGGAAGGAAUGUUUUGUGCCCGAUCCUGAGGUUGAAUACGUGAAGGCCUCCAUCACCAGCAGAGACGAUGACAAAGUCACUGUUGAGACUUUGGAAAGGUAAUGCACAGCAAAUACAUCUUAAACCUAUUUCAGAGUCUUUACUUACUGCAUCAAGGCUGAUUCCUGCAAACAAACUUUACUUUAUUUGUGUGUGUGUAUAUAUAUAUAUAUAUAUAUUAUUUUUUUGACAUCUCACCACCUGUACCCAUUACUAUGUAAAUACAAGUCCAGACCGAACUUCACAACCUCAAAUUUUGUGGGAGGGGUUAAGUUUGGCUGGCUUCCAGGCUGAUUACAUGACUAUAAUUGUCUGGUCCAUGACCAUGCUUGUGGCAUGGUGGAAAUAUAUUUUAACCUCAGGUAAACUGUAGAUAUAAUAUUUAAUCUAUGGCUCUGUUCGAAACAGAAAAACUGCUGCCUUUUAAGACAUCUGACAGGGGAGCGAGGCAACAAGUGCUGUUCAAAACCAAAAAAAUAUAUUUUUCCUGCCUUCUAAGGUAGAUUAGAAUUUUUUUGAAGGCAGCGUCAAUGUAUCCUUGAAGCUGCCUACUAACCACAAUUCUGCAGUCACACCAUAUAGGUAUGGUCACAAGACAGCGGCUCUUCUUUCUUUCGGCGGCUGUGGAAGUUUGGUAUGGACGGUGAAAUACUGACCAACUUCUACCGCUGUACCAUUGAGAGCAUCCUGACUGGAAAACAUCACAGCAUGGUAUGGUAACAGCACCGCCCACGAUCGCAAAGCGCUGCAAAUGGUGGUCAGGUCAGCGCAGUGCACUACAAGGACUGAGUUACCAACUAUUCAGGGAACAUGUCAGAACAACACAACUCAGGAGCAUUGUCCAACAACAUUACUCAAAAUGUUGCCUUGUGUGUCAUCAGUUUAAGAAGCAACCUGCAGACCUUUGUGGGAUGUGAGGGGAUGACUAAUGUGAAUUGAACUUUCAUUAUUUGAAUGCAUGAUCAUGGACCACUUGUAAUGCCUUCACAGACCACCAGAGGACUGCAGACAACUUGUAGAAAACCCCUGAAAUAAGUCAGCCUAUCAAAUCUCUGCUUGAUCAAAUCUACUUGAUGAAUAUUCAUUUAUCUACCGAGAGAUUGUUAAAAAAUAGUUGUAUCUGUUACCUCAGAUUCUACUGUGCUAUUACUGAAAUAAUACUUCUGAUAUGUUCUAUUGUUAUCUUUCUAUUAUCGGUAUUUUAUUGAAAUUAUAGGAUUAAUACUGCAGACUCAGAGUUGUAACCAUGUUUAAGCCAAAGGUUUCUACAUGAAAUUAUGUAAUCUAAACCUUACUUAUUUCUGGGAGUAACUGUCUCUAUUCCCAAUUUUAGAACAUAUCCUCAGUCUAUCAAUGUUACAAGAAGUCCUUAGAAAUAGUCAUGAUUCAUACUAUUUUGAGUGGCACUACACUGAAAACGAUACACAGUCUAAUCAAGAAUGUUAUAUUACAGCACAUGCUCAACAUAGUAUAAUAAAUAGUACAUAAAGCCUGCUUACUUUUACACCUCGAAACUUCCUGUUGUAUUGGAACUAUUAAGCUGUGAGGGUCCACAUCAAGGACCAGAGAAAUCCUCUAUUUGAGUUCUUUCAGUUUUGCUGUUAAGGUUGUCGAAAGGCUCAUCCACAAAGUUCCUCUUUAUGACAAAGCCAGAAAGAAAUAAAAGAAAUAGAUUACAUAAAUAUAUAGUAUUUAAAUGAAGGUGCUUUAAUAUUUCUGGUUUAUCUGAUCAGGAGUCCCACUUCUGUUACACAGAUCUUAAAUGAAGUAAACACAUCUGAUACGGGCUAAACAUAAAAGCUUAUGUUUGUCAAAGGCUGGUCCUUCACUGACAGGCUUGUCUACUCAAAUGAAUGAAUUGGCUGUUCAAGGUGAGGCUGUGUGUCAGUGUGAGUCUAUUGGCUGCAACAGCUGCUCCACUGAGGCUUCCCAAGGAGAAGGGAAAGGUGACACCUGUUGUACUCCACUUCACACCACAGCUGAACAUAAACACACACACACACACACACACACACACACACAUCCAAUCAGAGUGAAGGGAGGUUAAGAGGUGCACUUGGGGGUGACGGAAUACCUGUCCAUAUCCUCCCGCAUGUCUAAAGGGAGGUGUUGGAUAUAUGAGUCCUGUGAACUUCAACUUCAAUUUUGACCAUGACAUGCCAUAAGUUAGCCCUAAACUGAAUAUGUUAGCAACCUCCUUCUUGGAUCACUUGACCUUUACUUUUAGGCCUUGACUUUUACUUUUUAGGAAUAACCAAUUUUACUGAAGCACAUAGUUAUUUAACCUGGUGGAAGUCACUGUGUCGGAUGCCGUUUUAUUUUAAAGAAAAAAAAUCUCGACUGCCAGAGAAGGAAAGGAAACCAAACAUGUAGGCAUUAGUAGAACAUGUAACUCUCCAGUAGUCCAGGAGUAUCACAAUGAUUUUCUUUCUCAUUUAGUCUUGUAAUCCGAAAAGACUGUAUGGCCCGAGAGAGAAUAAACUUCGUCUAUACUUU
Molecule: long non-coding RNA, 2782 nt
Organism: Alosa alosa (allis shad)
Lineage: Eukaryota; Metazoa; Chordata; Actinopteri; Clupeiformes; Clupeidae
Exons: 2
Source: RefSeq, a predicted model, not a curated record